Molecule: transfer RNA, 72 nt
Filed under: Camelus bactrianus (Bactrian camel)
Lineage: Eukaryota; Metazoa; Chordata; Mammalia; Artiodactyla; Camelidae
Also listed under: 2 other names
Rfam family: tRNA
About the family: Transfer RNA (tRNA) molecules are approximately 80 nucleotides in length. Their secondary structure includes four short double-helical elements and three loops (D, anti-codon, and T loops).
Source: Rfam by way of RNAcentral
GAGGGUAUAGCUCAGUAGUAGAGUGCAUGCUUAGCAUGCAGAAGGUCCUGGGUUCAGUCCCCAGUACCUCCA